GAUGAACGCUAGCGAUAGGCCUAACACAUGCAAGUCGAGGGGCAUCACAUGAAGUAGCAAUACGGAUGGUGGCGACCGGCGCACGGGUGAGUAACACGUAUGCAACCUGCCUUCAACAAGGGGAUAACCCGUUGAAAAACGGACUAAUACCCUAUAAUACAGGGGUCCCGCAUGGGGAUAUUUGUUAAAGAUUGAUCGGUUGAAGAUGGGCAUGCGUUCCAUUAGCUGGUUGGUGAGGUAACGGCUCACCAAGGCAACGAUGGAUAGGGGAACUGAGAGGUUUAUCCCCCACACUGGUACUGAGACACGGACCAGACUCCUACGGGAGGCAGCAGUGAGGAAUAUUGGUCAAUGGACGCAAGUCUGAACCAGCCACGUCGCGUGAAGGAAGACGGCCCUACGGGUUGUAAACUUCUUUUGAAGGGAAUAAAGUGUAGUACGCGUACUAUUUUGCAUGUACCUUACGAAUAAGGAUCGGCUAACUCCGUGCCAGCAGC
This 497-nucleotide ribosomal RNA is filed under the name uncultured bacterium. RNAcentral's name for it is "bacterial SSU rRNA". It matches the Rfam family "Bacterial small subunit ribosomal RNA", at positions 28 to 515 of the family's 1533-position model. The record is from RNAcentral.